RNAcentral lists this transfer RNA (77 nucleotides) under Alphaproteobacteria bacterium. Its description in RNAcentral is "tRNA-Pro". It matches the Rfam family "tRNA". From Rfam's summary of the family: Transfer RNA (tRNA) molecules are approximately 80 nucleotides in length. Their secondary structure includes four short double-helical elements and three loops (D, anti-codon, and T loops). The record is from RNAcentral. RNAcentral also lists the same sequence under 2 other names. Lineage: Bacteria; Pseudomonadati; Pseudomonadota; Alphaproteobacteria.
CGGGGCGUGGCGCAGGCUGGUAGCGCACCUGCUUUGGGAGCAGGGGGUCGCAGGUUCGAAUCCUGCCGCCCCGACCA